Molecule: long non-coding RNA, 261 nt
Filed under: Numida meleagris (helmeted guineafowl)
Lineage: Eukaryota; Metazoa; Chordata; Aves; Galliformes; Numididae
Description: lncRNA (ENSNMEG00000000775.1)
Source: RNAcentral
GACUAAACAGACAGAGGGGGAGUGUGAUCCAUGUGUCUUUGCGAAGGCAUGAAAGUGUAAAGCUUACGUCCUUUUUGAGUAAUGAAAGAAGCUGCAGUUUCUUAUAGGAAGGACAGAGGAACAUCCUCUUCAGAGUGACACAAAAGGGUUAAAGGUAAGACUUAACAGCCACCUGACUUAAGUUUUAUCGUCCCACCAGUGGAAGCAGAUUAGUGUCGUUAAAGAAGAUCAUUUGUGUGUGUCCUCUAGAAGGGUGUAGCC